UGCCAGGCUGCUGCUCAGGUGAUCUGCCUCUUGGACCAGCUCUGAAGAUGGGACAAUGAUCAGUGUAAGAUCCCUGAGAUGCUGAGACACGAUGGGAUGGAGGAAAGCUAUGGGACAAGCGGCCUUUCAUAGGAGGAGGAGCUCCUUGUCAAAUGUGAGGAGCGAAGCAGGACAGGAGCAUGAGAACAGGAAGCCAGAAGUUAUGGGGACACUCAAGCAGCAGUAGGGAGAGGCUCAUGAGUAGAACUGAGGCAUCCUGCAAACAGCUAUGGACUAACCUGUAUUGGGAACAGAUUCUGCAGCUCCACGUAAGUCUUCAGAUGAUGGUUUAUUUUCUCUUUUUAAUUAAAAAAUUUUUAAAAAGGUAAUUAAAUUUAAGGAGGACUUCCCUUAUUAUAUCAAGAGGUUAAUACUCAAAAUGGUGGUGGUGUGUCAUUUUUAAGAAUUUUCCUUCAGAAUGAAAUUCUAAUGAUCUGGUAAGCAGUUAGAAUUUGGUUCUGCCCUAAGGCUUCUUUCUCAUAAUAAGAUUAAAAAUUGAGGGUAAACAGGAAACAAACAAAAUCUGAGAGGUGCAUUGAUUUCAAAUUAAGCUCAAUAACCCCCAAAUGUAAAAGUCCUUCCUGACAUAACACACAUAUCAAGACCCAAGAUUUCUCAGAGAGAAUCCGAUGCCCACUCUCUAGAGGCUAAGCUCCCACUGCAGGGGCAGUGUUACCUGUUACCUUUAGCUCUUUUUUCUCUCUCUGGCUUUUAUCUCAGAGGUCUGUUCCUUAGUCUCUGUUGAGGUGAAACUCCAAUAUCUGAAUUCAACCAGCCAAAUAAGCAACCUGUGUACAAGCCAAGUUAAAGUUUCACUCCCAUAAUGGAUGAGGAGAAACCAGAAGCCAUUUCUCAUGUGCAGGGAGUGCAUGAAUCCCCUGAAUUGCCAGGUUUCAGGGUCACAAGAGACCUCUAGAAGGCUCUGCUCAUCAUCACCUUAUCAUCUGGUAGGUUCCAGGUAUCUGGGUGCACAUGAAUUAAGUCUUAAUGACUUUAAAUUCUGUCUCAAAUUUUUAUCCUCUUAUAAGUUUAGGCUUUUUGUCUGAGGAAAAGUGCAAAUAUUCCAUGAAGACGUGAGGUCAGAUCUCUUUUGGCAGGGAUAAAGAAUACCACAGAGCGGGUCCUAAUGGCAAGGAGAGAGAAAGAGUAAGUAAGUAAGUUUUGAAGUGUAUGGGAAUGCCUUGGGAGGGAGAAAAAGUGUAGAAAUAAAAGGAUCUUGGUCUAAUUCUCCUUUGUGUCCAGAGGCAGCUCUGCAAAUACCAUCUUAAUGAGCCACUGCCUAGCCCCUAAUCUCAUAAAAUCCUCAAAGGGGAAAACGCAUGAAAGGCAGAGCUGAUUCUCUCUCUUUUGAUAUUUGCCCUUGGGUUUGCUGGCCUGACUUCUGGGACUCUGGGAACACAUGAAUUAGCAAGAACCAGAGAAGGCAUUGAAAACUAGGCCUCUUCAAUGAUGAGCCAAAUCAGACAGUUACCUUACAGCUUGCGUAUUUAUUGAACAAAUACUACUAAAAUAGCUAAAAUACAUUGGGUACUUGUCAUGAGUGCAUCAGUAAAGAUCACACUGUUACAAAAGCCUGCAUUUUCAGCAGUACACAACUGCAACUCUACAUAAAUGCCACAGAUGCAGAAUACUGUUUUCUUGCUCUAUUUACACAGCUGAUAUACCUAUUCUAACGAAGGAGGGAGAGGAGUAAUGCACAAGAAACUCAGGCCAAUGGGGGAGCAAGAAGAAAACGAAGAAGUGCAGUGCAUGCGUCAUUGGUGUUUAACAGUCAGAAGCGAACAGUUCAGAACAAGGCCUGCCCUGUCAAAAGAAGAGCUAAAAGACAGUUAUAUAAAAAUUAAGGUGGGCUUUCAGACUGGCUAACACAACAACAUUCCAUGAGUAGAUGGUAAUUUAUUUUUGUUUAUCCAUUUCGUUGGGAGCAAGGACAAAAAUGUAAAUCUACACCUUGCUUAUCAAAAUUGCCAAAAAAAGAAUGCUCUGCCUUUUAAAAAAGUAUCAUGAUUUUGUAGACAUUGUUUUCCAUUUUAAUAUGUGGAAAAGGUGUCAUUUUCCUAUCCCUACUCAGAUGCCAGUGUUUUGGGUUUUUGUCAGGGGGAAUUUAUUUAAAAAGGUUUUGCUCUUUUUUACGACAAAUAUCCUUUCAAACAGAAAGAAGCCAAAGAGACACCUCAAAAUGCCUGUAAAAUUAUUGCUUUUCUUUCUCUAAGUCAGGCAGGCGAGGCUACGGAAAGGAAGAGAUUUGGUAAGUAAAUUACAGUUUUGUGAUUGCUCCCGCUACCGUGACUGCAUGUCCGUGAGUGCCAGCCAACGAGACAAUCGUCUCUCACACUCUGGUAGCAUUUGCUCAACCUACAACACUGAGGAAGAAAGCCACACUGAAGACACAAGGAAAACAAGUCAAUCCAGUCUAGAGAACAACAUUCAGGGAAACAGAGUACCAACACCUUCUUAGAACAUGGAAAUAAAAAAUAACUCCAUCAGAGCUACCUCGCCAAGGAGCAUGUUGAAAGUCCAAAAUAGCACCAUUCAUCAGUGUCUCAGGUCCUGUGGCAGCAUCUCGGUCACUUACCACAAGGAAACAAUGAGUUUCAAACUACUUCUAUACAUCAAAAGAGUACAUGGAUAAAAUAUAGAGAUAUACAGACAAUUGAUGAACAUAAACUACUAGGUUUGUUACAUCUAAAUGAAAAAAAAAGGGGGGACUCUCAGCCUCUGCAAGAAGCAGUCGGGAGCUGUGUGAGUGAAAAGGCAGGAGUGGACCGGUUGUGUGAGCGCGGUGGGAGUUUGAGUUGUGGAAGACAUCGUUGUAGCGAACCAGGCCUGAAGGCCCACCUGUAAGGGUUGUAAACGUGGAUUCACAGUGUGAAAUUCUGAGCGUUUUCACUUGAGUCAGAAUGAUUAAAAACUGGUUUGAUGAUACCUAUUUGUCCACUGUAAAUUCUCUAAAGCAAGGCUCAGAGUCCCAUAGUUUCUUCUUAUACUUGAUGAUUUACACAGAAAAAAAUCCCAUAUAUGAUACCAUGACCUCAUCAAUACCCAUACACCAUAUGUAAUACAAAUGGAGGUGUUAUGAUUAAAAAAAGUGGAGGUAACUGAUUCUUGGGGAGCGGAGUUCACUGCUGCCCAGUGGAGUCAGGGAGGCAGCGUUUGUCUCAUCGUUCUUCUUGCGGUUCACUUCCUUUGGGACAGGAAGUCUUCCCUGCAAAGCAGGCAGACCCACACACAGACAGACACACAUAAAAGACAAAAUUAAUUAGUCAUGCUUCUGAAACCAUUUUUUAAAAUUUUGCUUUUCCUGCCCAGCCCACAUUUUACCCUUGAACUCUUGCUGUUUUGCAAAACAGAGUUUACAUAUUAAACACAGUUCACCUGAAUGUAAAUAUUAGGUCUGUGAGGAAAUAAAGUAAUUAAACACUGGCCACCUUUGCUUCAGUAGAAUGAAGUGCUUCUGUCACAGUGGUGCCAGCCAUGUGUGAGGCAGCAUUCCCCAGUGUCAGGUUUCUUGGGACAGUUUCUAGUAUCAGAUAGGGCCCAACCUUAGACUGGGUGAUAGAUACUCACAGGACUGUCAGUUGAUAAUUUAAAAAAAAAAAAAAGGAGUCCAGUGGGUGUGAUGAAGAAGAGUAACAAUCAAUUUUCUAAUAUGUAAUAAAAAUAUUUAAAAACGUAUCUCAACUUGCAUAAAUCUUAUCUAUGUAUGGCUUAUUCUAUUGGCAAUCGGCGCAUGCCAGAAGUGGCUACCAAAGAUGGGAAGUGUCGGGGAGAGAAAUAAUGUGAGGGUGCCCAGACAGCGGUUGUAGGAAAGUGGGGGCUAGUGGGGAAACCAAGGCCAGAAGAGAGUGAGAUUCAGCUCACCUAGACUGACUGGGGCUAUUCUAAGUCUCUCCUCACAAUUCUGAUGAGUAAAGUUUUUGUGUUUCUGACUAGAAUAACUCAAUCUCAGUGUGACUACUGAUCCGCCGCCACGUGGCUUCCCGGACACACUGCUGCAGCGCCAACAGUGGAGAGGAGCGCUCCAUCACAACCAGACAGCAGAAGCACAGCACAGUGAAGCCCACCUGCCCACAUGAUGCACAAUAAAGUAUUUUGAGACUCUAAAGUGAAGAGCUUAAGAGAAAAGAUCUAUUGACAAUCAUUAAUUACCUUUGCUCUCAAAUGAUUCAGACCUGACCUUUGGUAUUCCGCAAGGGCCUCAACUUCCAUUCCAUUGCCAAUGCUGGAUGUGGAGAAUGGAUGGUCCCAAGCAACAAUCAUUUGCCUUUCUGUCAAAAGCUGUCUCAGUUUAAAUGUACUGUAUUUUCUCUGCCUCUUCUCAUCGGAACAUGUUCUAGUCUACUCUCCAGGUGCUAGUUCUGGCAGUCAGAAAUAGUGCCACUUUUCAACUUCAAGUUUCUUACCAACCUUUGUGCAUUCUUGCAGCAAGAGUUCAUGAAAUAGCUGCAAAGUGCUGGACACUGUUAGUUUCUGGGGAUUGCAAGACAAACAAACAGUUUCUGCCUUCUAGAUGCUCAAGUCUGGGGGUGGGGCAGGUAGAGCAGGGGUGAUCAAUCCACAAAAAUUUACUUUCAAAAAUGUGUGUUAUGGGCUGACUUGUAUCACCUCAAAAUUCAUAUGGGGAAUUCCUAACCACCCAUACCUUAGAAUGCGAUUGUAUUUGGAAACAGGAUCUUUAUA
Nomascus leucogenys (northern white-cheeked gibbon) is the source of this 4719-nucleotide long non-coding RNA. RefSeq lists it as uncharacterized. NCBI's taxonomy places the organism in Eukaryota, Metazoa, Chordata, Mammalia, Primates, Hylobatidae. The record is from RefSeq and is a predicted model, not a curated record. The transcript has 3 exons.